Molecule: transfer RNA, 65 nt
Filed under: Phalera takasagoensis
Lineage: Eukaryota; Metazoa; Arthropoda; Insecta; Lepidoptera; Notodontidae
Description: tRNA-His
Source: RNAcentral
AUUUAAAUAAUUUAAGAAAAAUAUUGAUUUGUGGUGUCAAAAAUAUGAAUUUAUCAUUUUAAAUU